Pongo pygmaeus (Bornean orangutan) is the source of this 753-nucleotide long non-coding RNA. RefSeq lists it as uncharacterized. NCBI's taxonomy places the organism in Eukaryota, Metazoa, Chordata, Mammalia, Primates, Hominidae. The record is from RefSeq and is a predicted model, not a curated record. The transcript is spliced from 5 exons.
GCACAUCGAUAGGUGAAGAGAAACUGAAAGUCAUACUUGGAAGAUGAUGUGACACCAUCCCCAUUGUCCUUUCCAGAGAUGAGCCUGACAGACUUGAAUUACUGACAACCCACAGCAGAAGCUGAAGAGAAAGAGUAUAGAUUGCCACAUGCCGGGACUGGAGUCUUGGCUUUCUAAAGAUCUUUUCCAUUACCUCUGCAGCAAGAACGACAUCUUCUAAAGACUCAGGAUGGCCUCUAAUCUUCACAGCCUAAUUCCCUGAUCCUCCAACCAGGAGGCCUCCCCAGGCCUGAAAGAAGUGUUUGUAAAGGAAGAAGUAACUGGAACAGAAUCAUCUGGCAAAAUCAACUGAGAAAAAUGGAAAAAAAGUACCACCUGGCUUCCUUGAUAGUCAUAUUUUUAGUGGCAAUAAUACCCAAAUAAUGUGGAUCCCAAUCAAGGGUUGAAGAGAGACCUUUUGUGAGGAGUUUGAAGGGGGAAUGUCCUUGAGUAUGUCGAAGAAAAUUGAGGAUGGUAAAAUGUUCACUGGAAGUGACAUGGGGUGAGCCAUGAAAUGCAUCCUCAAUGACAUCCUUUGAUAGACUCAGAUAAAGAAUGAAAUUCCUUUUCAUUUCAUUGAUUGGCUGUUUGAUAUGGUUUUGCUGUGUCCCUGCCCAAAUCUCAUCUUGAAUUGUAGUUCCCAUAAUCCUCAUGUGUCGUGGGAGGGACCUGGAGGGAGGUAAUUGAAACAUGGGGGCAGUUACCUCUGUGCUG